UCCGUUCUGUUCUCUCGUUGACUUCUCCCCCGAAGACACGUUCAUCGACAGCCCUCAUCCCGGCCGCCGGCGCUGCUGUCCCAUCCGCCUCCGGCGAGCCUCUCUCUGUUCCCCUCCUAUUGCAUCUCACGACUCCCCCUCAGUUCCAUUUUUUGGCAUGCCGCAUGCAUCCGCAUCCGCGAGCAGCAGGUCUAGGGUUAGGCACGGUCAUGUGCCGCUUGCUGUGGCAGCACCAACGGUGCUUGCUGCUACGGCACCUCCGCCACUUGCUGUUGCGCCGCCGCCCCUCCUCUCAGCUGUUGCCCCGGUGCCUCCUCAUGCUGUUGAAUCAUGAAUAUAUAAGAAGUGUAUGAAGCUUAUUUCCUGGAAAAGAGAUUUAUUGGGCAAAAUCUUUCGAUGAAUGCUGUCCCUGAAUUGAUGCAAGAAUUGGAACAACUGCAGAUGGGAUUAGAUGAGGUCAAGGAGGAGAUGAUAGAACCUAAAAUAAGUAGCUGUUGUGUAGUUAUGGGAUGCAUCAAUAUAGUCCUAGUGGUGUUUGGCAUCCUUUUGUAUGUACUGAAGUAGAAAAUGAUGUGUUGUGUCAGAAGCCAUCUUAUGUUGUCUGUUGGAUUAACUAUGCAAUGAAAGGCGACCAUCUAAUGUUAUGUGUUGU
Long non-coding RNA from Panicum virgatum (switchgrass), 652 nucleotides. RefSeq lists it as uncharacterized. The record is from RefSeq and is a predicted model, not a curated record. The transcript is spliced from 2 exons. NCBI's taxonomy places the organism in Eukaryota, Viridiplantae, Streptophyta, Magnoliopsida, Poales, Poaceae.